This is a long non-coding RNA of Lutra lutra (Eurasian river otter), 401 nucleotides long. RefSeq lists it as uncharacterized. The record is from RefSeq and is a predicted model, not a curated record. The transcript is spliced from 3 exons. NCBI's taxonomy places the organism in Eukaryota, Metazoa, Chordata, Mammalia, Carnivora, Mustelidae.
UUCUCUGGCUUUUUCUCUAAAUUGAAUGUUUAAACAGACACAUGACGUGGGCAGCGGGACCAGCAGCAGUCCCUAAGCUCCCUCAGGAUCUUUUACCCAGAAAAAUCUGAACACCAAGAGUCUGCCAAAUCUUUUGUUAAGUUCAGCUUUCCGGAUACAACUGGUGGAAGAAAAGGGAGAAUGCGGGUUGCACAGCAGUAGGUUCUAAUAAAGUUGGGAAAAAAAAAAAAACAGGACAACUUGGCAGAAGCAAUUAUCCUAUGGGUUGCUCUGCAGGCAAAUAUUGGGGGUGAGAAAAAAAAAAUCAAGCUGAGCCCUGAUAGAGUCCAACUUCAGUUCAGUGGACAUAUAUAAUAGGCACAAGUCAGUGAUUCAUCAGUUGUAUGCACCAUUACAUCAGG